RNAcentral lists this ribosomal RNA (253 nucleotides) under uncultured bacterium. RNAcentral's name for it is "partial 16S ribosomal RNA". It matches the Rfam family "Bacterial small subunit ribosomal RNA", at positions 524 to 776 of the family's 1533-position model. The record is from RNAcentral.
UACGUAGGGGGCUAGCGUUGUCCGGAUUUAUUGGGCGUAAAGAGCGUGUAGGCGGCCAGGUAGGUCUGCUGUGAAAACUCGAGGCUCAACCUCGAGACGUCGGCGGAAACCAUCUGGCUAGAGUCCGGAAGAGGAGAAUGGAAUUCCUGGUGUAGCGGUGAAAUGCGUAGAUAUCAGGAGGAAUACCGGUGGUGUAGACGGCUCUCUGGACCGCCACUGACGCUGAGACACGAAAGCGUGGGUAGCAAACAGG